This is a long non-coding RNA of Lytechinus variegatus (green sea urchin), 1345 nucleotides long. RefSeq lists it as uncharacterized. NCBI's taxonomy places the organism in Eukaryota, Metazoa, Echinodermata, Echinoidea, Temnopleuroida, Toxopneustidae. The transcript is spliced from 4 exons. The record is from RefSeq and is a predicted model, not a curated record.
ACAGGCAAGCAAAUAUUUAUCAGUUUGACUAGCUACAGUUCAUUGAGGGCGCUUUGCACCAAACGUUGGAAAUUUUCUGUUUUGAAAGUAGUCACGUAUGUGAUCCGACGAUGCCAUUUAUUUUUCCUAAAUUUUGCAUACGGGCCCAAUAACACACCCCUCUGCCAGGAGUCUCCUACCAACAUGAGGACAUGGAUGAAACCGGUCUUUGAUCCUCCCCCAGAACCCCUCAGCCAGGAGUCUCCUACCAACAUGAGGACAUGGAUGAAACCGGUCUUUGAUCCUCCCCAGACACCCCUCAGCCAGGAGUCUCCUACCAACAUGAGGACAUGGAUGAAACCGGUCUUUGAUCCUCCCCCAGAAACCCCUCAGCCAGGAGUCUCCUACCAACAUGAGGACAUGGAUGAAACCGGUCUUUGAUCCUCCCCAGACACCCCUCAGCCAGGAGUCUCCUACCAACAUGAGGACAUGGAUGAAACCGGUCUUUGAUCCUCCCCCAGAAACCCCUCAGCCAGGAGUCUCCUACCAACAUGAGGACAUGGAUGAAACCGGUCUUUGAUCCUCCCCCAGAAACCCCUCAGCCAGGAGUCUCCUACCAACAUGAGGACAUGGAUGAAACCGGUCUUUGAUCCUCCCCAGACACCCCUCAGCCAGGAGUCUCCUACCAACAUGAGGACAUGGAUGAAACCGGUCUUUGAUCCUCCCCAGACACCCCUCAGCCAGGAGUCUCCUACCAACAUGAGGACAUGGAUGAAUCUGGUCGUUGAUCCUCCCUCAGACACCUCUCAGCCAGGAGUCAACUAUGAGUGAUGUAGAAAGAUCUAGGAUGAAAGGAGAAAGAGCGCUGCCAAGGAAGGAAGCCUGUGUAUUAUACCAUGGGAUCAAUGAACAACCAUCACCAGCAUCGGGCAAGCCAGUUGGAAGGGUUAGGUGACGAACCCAACCGCCCUAAGACCGUGCCCAACAGUGCUACCUGGCGGGGAGUCCUGACUCCAGUGUUGCGACCUCUAGGAGUGAUUCGAGGAUGUCCAGUCUGUCCGAUGCUAAGGGUAUGUCUGCGUCACCGAGCGGGUCACAGACGUCUUUCCAGAUGGUCAGUGGUUCUGAUGGACAUGCUUCUGUGGAACCGUCUCUUAUGGAAGAUAGGCCAGUCCUGCCUCCAAUUCAGCCUGGACAGAACUCAUAGCCUCAGAUCAGCCUCCAGGUCUCUUCUGCUCUCUGGAUUGAGACCUUAUUCUCUCAGUUUAGCUUGGUAUUUAUACAAUGUCUAUAGCAUUUUCAUUAUUUAAUAAUGUACAAUGAAAUAGCAUUGUAGAUAAUGCCUCAGUGGAAUAGUGCUGGCACA